Long non-coding RNA from Dromaius novaehollandiae (emu), 2090 nucleotides. RefSeq lists it as uncharacterized. The record is from RefSeq and is a predicted model, not a curated record. Lineage: Eukaryota; Metazoa; Chordata; Aves; Casuariiformes; Dromaiidae. The transcript is spliced from 3 exons.
GGCACCAAGGACAGCAAAUGCUGACAAAGAGAAGAGACGGACAAGCAUUUUCUUGUGAUUAAUACCGAAGGGACGGGAUGAAACAAGGAAGCCAAAAUGCAGUGGACCCUCGAUAUCACCAGGAACUGCUACAGGAGGCGGCGUUCUGGCACGGGUAACUAAGGGCGAUGGAUUUUACUCUGCCUCCAUCAACAGGCGCUGGCUGGCAAAGUCGUCGUGUCCCAGCAGAGACUCUUAGGCAGGACAGGAGGAGUUCGGAUCCGCAGCCUGCCAGAAGAGCGUCGCCUGGGAGGGGUCACUAGCCUUGAGCUACAGGCGCUGGUGCCGAAGCCCAGUCGGGCAGUCGAAGGAGCCUCAUCGCAGCUGGGAGCUCUGCGGAGAUGCGCGGCCGGCUGUGGAGGAUGAGCUCUGACUUGCGGCGUGGACACGGCUAAGUCCUGGGCUGCAUCGUACGCGAGUGGGGCUGGGAGGUGCGAGGCGUUCGUCCCCUAGCCGUGGUCACUGGCGCCGCUGGCUGUGGCCGUUUGCCCACGGAGCUGAGAGGACCAAACAUACUAAUUGCCUGACCCGGAGAUGAAUUAGUGCUUGCAGGCUUUCAGGUAGGUUCAGUGCAAGUGCAGCUUAGUGCAGUCCCGUGGAGUGACGCUUGCACAUGCUCACAUUUGAAUGGUGGCUAAAACCAAGCCUCUAAACAGCAACUGUAAGGCAAUUCUGGUGCUUGUUUUCCUGUUCUGCUGUACUUCUAAAGGAAGGGAAAGCUUCCUAAGCUGCAGGCAAAACUCCUUGGCUUCUCUUGACUGUUUCCAUGCUCUGGAAACAGCUUUGGGUGCUUUGAUGCUUGUUGCUUAAAGCUGAGGGUUUGGAAUUUUUCACUUAAGGUUGAUUGUUUAGCUUGCUGCUGAGGGUCUCUCACCCAGGAGUUACGGGUUAUUCCUUUCUUUUGUGGGGCUCACUCUUUAUCAGUCAGGGUUUACAGUUUGCUCAUGUAGCAAUCGGGGCGCAGAAUUUAAAAUCCAACCCCGUCCCUUGUCCCGAUCCAAUAUCGGGGGGGUUUCGUUACGAUCCCAAGGACGUGAUUAAGACGCUAAAACCGGUCAAAUAUCGUACAACCGUUUAACAUUAUUUUCCACAAAGUGGGGAGGAAAGGUGGGGAAAGGCGAAGGAGAGGCGAAGGGAAGAGGGGAACAAGGGUAAGGAGAAAAGACAGAGAAAGCUGGAAAAGGAGAGAAAGAGCUGGCUACCACCAGUCCAAGUCAAAUGAUGUUCUGCUGACUCCGUUCGAAUUACAGCUCAGGCUGGGUGCCUCCGAAGAGGGACCCCAAACAAAGAAAUCCCUGGGCAAUGAUACUUUCCAAUCUAAGCUCUCCACCCUUCACACAGUAGUUUGGACCAAUAGUAAUAUUUAGGUCUGGGGUCUCCUGCUGCUUAUUGGGUCCCUCGGUAGGUUGUUUACUGUUGCGGUUUCUGCUGGUGGAUGUGUCUUCAUUCUUCGGGUCCUGCCCUUGUCUCUCAAGGCCCUGACAAAUCAGUACUGCCCCAGCAGUGAUAGUAGGUGUUAUUUCCCAAGGUCCAGACAAAGGGAAUAUAAUCUGGACCCCGAGAUAGUCCAGACCCCCCCCUAAUCAGCACUGUUUCAGCAGCGAGAGGAGCCCCAUCAUCCAACUAUGAUGGCAGUUCUUUGACCAUUUGCUUGUCCAGCCACUCAGACCAUAGAGGCCUAGUUUGUGUGCAAGUAUACUGUGGGAGAAAGUGUCAAAAGCCUUCCGAAAGUUGAGGUAACUGACGUUCACUGCUCUCUGUUCGUCCAUAAAUAGAGUUCUUUUAACAUAGAAAGCCAUCACGUUGGUGAGGCAUGAUUUCCCCUCAGGAAAUCUGUGCUGACUGUUCCCAGGCACCUCAUUCUCCUUCCUUUACCUGGAAAUGUGAUCAGAGGGGGCUCGCUGCAUGACACUCUCCUCAUCAAAGUGAGUCUGAACGGCCUGUAGUUGCCCAGGUUGUGCUUGUGGCCUUUGUGGAAGAGGGAUGUAACAUUUGCCCUUCUGCAGUCAUUGGGUCCUCCCUGAGUCUCCACAGCUUUCCAAGAUGACAGA